Aethalodelphis obliquidens (Pacific white-sided dolphin) is the source of this 854-nucleotide long non-coding RNA. RefSeq lists it as uncharacterized. The record is from RefSeq and is a predicted model, not a curated record. NCBI's taxonomy places the organism in Eukaryota, Metazoa, Chordata, Mammalia, Artiodactyla, Delphinidae. The transcript is spliced from 2 exons.
AGUGGGCAAGCGGAGGGUGGGAGGUGGGCGCAGGUUGCUCGUCUGUGCUGGCCGGGGGUGUGCCCCUGCUUCCCCCCCACCUCGCAAGAGAUGCCCAGUGGGCAGAGUAACAGGAACCACAGCACAGAUUUGGCUGAAAAGCCCCGGGUGGGCGCGCAGCACCCGCUGGUGGGGGACUUGUCAGAUGCGAACUGAUAAAACACUGAGCGCUCAGCUGCAGAGCAGGCACCUGUGCUGAACGUCAGAGCAAAGUUUUCCAACAGUGCAUUCCGCGCUGAUGUCUGCAUUGGCUCUCAGGGAGCAGAGCCCGGAGCUGGGGGCCGCGUGACCCGCAGGAGCCACAGGAGGGGCCUGCCAGCUGGGGUCCCGCUCACCUUCACUGGCGUCGUCCAGUCUUGCCGCCCCGUCCAGGCCAGGGGAGGCUCAGGACCAAUACGUGUGGCCUUGCCGUGCCAGCCCGGCUGCCGAGGGAGCUGUUCUGCGGAGCUGCUUUACUCUGAGCUGUGGUUAUGACAAAACAGGAACAAGAGAGGAACAGAAAAAGAUCAGCCAAGUGAUUUUCAUGGUGUCGUUUUUCUUGAAGAUUCACUUUAAUAGUUGGAACUAUAGGGAAGAAAUGUUUUGGAAGCGAGAAUAAGACUACGACAAGCCAAACAGCAUAAUAUUCUAAAUGUGAAAUAAAAGAAUGUAUCACUUCCUGAAAAAAGAAAGAAAAAAUUAAGCUCACUGACACACACGUAUGCACCUGUGCACACAUCCCACACACGUUCCUACAUGGAUAUUAGAAGAGACUGUUUACUUGGAUGUUUUUAAAAAUUACUUAUCUUGGGCUUCCCUGGUGGCACAGUGGUUGA